AUGGAUGAUACAUCAAUCCUUGUUGGUAGCUGUAAGAAAGUGGUUGCGGGUAACCAAAAUUUCCAACAUAUGUGCCCCGGGGGACACUUGCAAUGUAUGGGGUAGCUGGUCUCAAACGUCCAUAAGGCAGUGGAGGUCGAGGUCGCCCAAGUGAAGCCAAAUUACAAUUUGCCCGUCUACCAUCAAUCAUUGGGGUAGGAUCAGCACAGGCUCUCUUAGCGGCCUCUGGUUCCCGGAAAGUCACAAAACCGUAACCUUUUGAUCGGCCGGUAUUCUUAUCGGU
Molecule: unclassified non-coding RNA, 283 nt
Filed under: Hevea brasiliensis (rubber tree)
Lineage: Eukaryota; Viridiplantae; Streptophyta; Magnoliopsida; Malpighiales; Euphorbiaceae
Source: RNAcentral